AAGACCUUGCGCUUUUGGAGCGGCCGAUGUCUGAUUAGCUUGUUGGUGAGGUAAAAGCUUACCAAGGCUUCGAUCAGUAGCUGGUCUGAGAGGACGACCAGCCACACUGGGACUGAGACACGGCCCAGACUCCUACGGGAGGCAGCAGUGGGGAAUUUUGGACAAUGGGGGCAACCCUGAUCCAGCCAUGCCGCGUGAGUGAAGAAGGCCUUCGGGUUGUAAAGCUCUUUCAGCCGGAACGAAACGGUUACGGUUAAUACCCGUGACUACUGACGGUACCGGAAGAAGAAGCACCGGCUAACUACGUGCCAGCAGCCGCGGUAAUACGUAGGGUGCGAGCGUUAAUCGGAAUUACCGGGCGUAAAGCGUGCGCAGGUGGUUUUGUAAGUCAGAUGUGAAAUCCCCGGGCUCAACCUGGGAACU
Molecule: ribosomal RNA, 423 nt
Filed under: uncultured bacterium
Lineage: Bacteria
Description: bacterial SSU rRNA
Rfam family: Bacterial small subunit ribosomal RNA
Source: RNAcentral